AGCAGCCGCGGUAAUUCCAGCUCCAAUAGCGUAUAUUAAAGUUGUUGCAGUUAAAAAGCUCGUAAUUGAAUUUCGGGAUCAAUAUUUCGGUCAUGCCGUUGGUAUGCACUGUUAUCAUUGAUUUCUCACCUUCUAAAGAACCGUAAUGCCAUUAAUUUGGUGUUACGGGGAAUUAGGACUGUUACCUUGAAAAAUUAGAGUGUUUAAAGCAGGCUCACGCUUGAAUACAUUAGCAUGGAAUAAUGAAAUAGGACAUCCGAUUCUAUUUGUUGGUUUCUAGGAUCGAUGUAAUGAUUAAUAGGGAUAGUUGGGGCUAGUUAGUAUUC
Molecule: ribosomal RNA, 326 nt
Filed under: uncultured Glomus
Lineage: Eukaryota; Fungi; Glomeromycota; Glomeromycetes; Glomerales; Glomeraceae
Description: SSU rRNA
Rfam family: Eukaryotic small subunit ribosomal RNA
Source: RNAcentral